AGCGCAGGCAGACUUGUGUGUCGGACGUGAAAUACCGGGGCUUAACCCCGGUGCUGCGUCCGAAACUACGAGUCUAGAGACUUGGAGGGGUAAGCGGAAUUCUUGGUGGAGCAGUGAAAUGCGUAGAUAUCAAGAGGAACACCAACGGCGAAGGCAGCUUACUGGACAAGAUCUGACGCUCAGGCUCGAAAGCGUGGGGAGCAAAAG
Molecule: ribosomal RNA, 207 nt
Filed under: uncultured bacterium
Lineage: Bacteria
Description: partial 16S ribosomal RNA
Rfam family: Bacterial small subunit ribosomal RNA
Source: RNAcentral